GGCCAUGUGGCCCAAUGGCAAGGCGCUUGACUACGAUGCGAGUAAUUACGUAAUCCGAAAUCAAGAGAUUCCAGGUUCGACCCCUGGCAUGGUCA
Massariosphaeria phaeospora is the source of this 95-nucleotide non-coding RNA. The record is from the annotation of a GenBank genome assembly. NCBI's taxonomy places the organism in Eukaryota, Fungi, Ascomycota, Dothideomycetes, Pleosporales.